GUUCUUCCUCAGUUCCUUUCACUGUAAGCAGUUCAAACCUCAAAGGGCUUAAUCUUGUUUAUAUAAUGUUAGCGCACAUUUGGGUUCAGCUGGCAGGGAAUGGGGGAAUGUGUUGGAACAGCUGAAGCUUUUCAAGGCAGUAUGCCCCACGCCCAACCUGAAGGCUAUUGCCCUUAUGGCAGAGAAGUUAAAAGGGGUGCAGAUUUCCUUGUGAACUGCCCAGUAUAAUAAAACAGAUUUAAAUUAGUUUGGCUUAUAGACAGGGCUGUAGACAAAAGCAAUCUAGGAGCUUUCAUACGCCUUUUCAGCUGCUGCUGCAGGUGUGGCUGGUAGUCAUUUCUGCUCUCGCUGUUUGGUUCCCCAGUGACUAUGGCUGUGAUUCUAUAUCUGCAUUCCCUGCAUGCCUUGACACUGCGCUGAGCUCCAGUUUUGAGACUUGGCAUUCUCAGCUAUUUUCGUCAAACUGACUUUUCUAUCAGGCUCAGAAGAACCCCUUCCCACUGACUUCCACAGUUACUCCUUGAGAGUCUGAAGUACAGCUGAAUGGCUUAACCAGAGCUGCUGAUGGCUUUUAGGGAAACUGGCUUGUGCUUUGAGACUUUACAAACUUGUCCUUGGCCACAAAGAGAUGCUGCUUUAUUCCCCUCUUCUGUUCUUCUCUGCUUUUGCUUGGUCUGUCUCUUCCACUCUUGCUCUGACGUUUGAGGACAUGAUGUUUCUUAAAAGCAGAGGUUUAGGCAUAAACUAAGCCCAUGAUCGUAUCAUUAACAACCUGAAAAGGGUAGCACCCUUGAAUUUUGUCAGCUGACAUGUUCAUAAUAGCGCACAAAGGUACCUAAGUGUGCCAUGAAUGCGGAAUGGUUUGUAGGAUGGCCAAUAUGUAAUUGUUUGCAGGAGGCCAGAGGAGCAGGAGGAAAAUUAGUAACUUUUCCUGAGGUACACUAAAGGGUUGCAAAUGACUACAGAGAAUUGUGAUUUUUACUUGCUGCUUUGUAUGUGGUAAAGUAGAGCUCAGAAGUUUUAGCCGACACCCAAGAGUAAUUCAUUUGAAUAAUGUUUUGGUCAAGCAGAAUGGUUGGCAUGUUUUUGGUGGUCAUCUAGAGUUUAUAUUUGCAUUGAGCCUUAGACAAACUUGGUGACAUUAGAUACUGGAUCUAUUUCAUUUAAGCCUCUUUCAAUCCUCCCAGUAAGUUUUGAAUCCUCUGGCUAAUUUCAGCUACUUUAGGAAAAUGUAAGUGAUUUCUAAAUGAAAACUGAAAAUUGUAUAGAAGAGGAGAACCAAAUUAGCAUCACUGUUGGAAGCAAGGCAGGCAGAAUUUGGCUGAUGGCAGUAGUCAGCAGUAGUCACUAUGUUUGUGCUGUCCAUUUAGACAGUCUUCAUAUGCUCUAGACUAGGUGUGAUGCAUGCUGCUGCUUUCUGGGUAGGCUUGCUAUACGGAAUGGUGGGGAAAUGGAGUUACUGUGGUGGCUGUUCCAAACCCUAUAACUCUGUUAUUUCUGCAGAUCAUGAAGCAUCUGCUUAUUGUGCACUC
Strigops habroptila (Kakapo) is the source of this 1532-nucleotide long non-coding RNA. RefSeq lists it as uncharacterized. The record is from RefSeq and is a predicted model, not a curated record. The transcript has 2 exons. Lineage: Eukaryota; Metazoa; Chordata; Aves; Psittaciformes; Psittacidae.